GUGUAUUAGUGCUUGCCAAGCAGAACAAAAUCUUCUCUGCUGUACUGCAUGUUGAUCACAAUCUUAUCAUAUUAGGAAUAAGAGGUUAUAUUAACAUGAAUUGGUGAUAACGAAACCAGUCUUUGAUACCCAGUUCAUCUUUUCCCCUCAAUGCCCAUUGGCCAUCAUUUCUGGAGGAGCUUUGAAAGAUAAGAACUUCACGCCUUUCUGAAUCCACAAGUGCCUACAUGGAGAGAAUGUUAUAAUUUGUGAGACCGUCAUUAUAUCAAAUUACAACCCAACAGACCUGUUGUGACAUUGAAACAGCUGGCAGAACUUGCUUCUCUUCCUGCAAAAAGCAAUUUCACUUCUCCGGCCCUCUGUGAUCUACAGAUUUUAUUGUGUAGGAUGUUGAGUUCUGUUAUUAUGCCACUGUUAGCAAAUCAUAUGCCAUCAAGAACAACAGACUUCUGCCACCUAGAUCCAUUAGGAUUAAAUUGCACUCAUUUCCUCA
This is a long non-coding RNA of Anolis carolinensis (green anole), 493 nucleotides long. RefSeq lists it as uncharacterized. NCBI's taxonomy places the organism in Eukaryota, Metazoa, Chordata, Lepidosauria, Squamata, Anolidae. The record is from RefSeq and is a predicted model, not a curated record. The transcript is spliced from 3 exons.